UCUGGUGGCGAAGGCAAAAUGGACACACCUGUACCCAUACCGAACACAGAAGUUAAGCAUUUUAGCGCCGAAGGUAGUACUUAAGUGCGAGAAUAGGACGUCGCCAGGC
RNAcentral lists this ribosomal RNA (109 nucleotides) under Erysipelotrichaceae bacterium OttesenSCG-928-M19. Lineage: Bacteria; Bacillati; Bacillota; Erysipelotrichia; Erysipelotrichales; Erysipelotrichaceae. The record is from RNAcentral.